This 374-nucleotide RNase P RNA is filed under the name Fidelibacterota bacterium. Its description in RNAcentral is "Candidatus Marinimicrobia bacterium RNase P RNA component class A". It matches the Rfam family "Bacterial RNase P class A". Rfam says of the family: Ribonuclease P (RNase P) is a ubiquitous endoribonuclease, found in archaea, bacteria and eukarya as well as chloroplasts and mitochondria. Its best characterised activity is the generation of mature 5'-ends of tRNAs by cleaving the 5'-leader elements of precursor-tRNAs. The record is from RNAcentral. Lineage: Bacteria; Pseudomonadati; Fidelibacterota.
UUAGCNAGCUAGAUAGUCGCUCCCAAUUUGNAAUAGNANUUUGGGGGAGGAAAGUCCGAGCACCGUAGAACAAAAUGCCUCAUAAUUAGAGGGGCUUUUUUAUAGAGUACGGAAAGUGCAACAGAAAACAAACCGCUUUGGUAAAACAAAGUAAGGGUGAAAAGGUAGUGUAAGAGACUNCCAGUCUUGAGAAAAAUAUCAAGAGCUUGUAAACCCCAUUUGGUGNAAGAUUGAAUAGGUUUCAAGGUGUUGUUCGCACCGNUUGAGAAACGGGUAAAUUGCUUGAGUUUAGUGGCGACNCUAANCCUAGAUAAAUGGCUAUCACUAUGAUNAUUAUCAUNNGACAGAACUCGGCUUACAGGCUNGCUAAUNUU